Long non-coding RNA from Zonotrichia leucophrys gambelii, 217 nucleotides. RefSeq lists it as uncharacterized. The record is from RefSeq and is a predicted model, not a curated record. The transcript has 3 exons. NCBI's taxonomy places the organism in Eukaryota, Metazoa, Chordata, Aves, Passeriformes, Passerellidae.
GCUGACGACUCACUUGGGAAGAAGAAAAGACACAAAAUGUUGUGCUGGCUCUCUAAGUGAAGGAAGGUUGAUCCUUGGAAGAACCUCAGCUAAAACUCCCAAAGAGGAGACCUUCCCAAUUUUAACAGGAAAGUGCAUAGGAAUGGAGAUCAAUUUAAGCUGUGCUGUGCAAAGAGGGGAGAAAUCUGGUGAUGGUCCUACAAAUGUCACUGACAAG